GAUGAAGAACGCAGCGAAAUGCGAUAAGUAGUGUGAAUUGCAGAAUUCAGUGAAUCAUCGAAUCUUUGAACGCACAUUGCGCCCCUUGGUAUUCCAUGGGGCAUGCCUGUUCGAGCGUCAUUUGUACCCUCAAGCUUUGCUUGGUGUUGGGCGUUUUGUCGUAUUACGACUCGCCUUAAAUACAUUGGCAGCCGGCACUUUGGCCUAGGAGCGCAGCACAUUUUGCGAUCGUAGCCCGUUGUACUGGCGUCCAUCAAGAACAUUUACCACGUUUGACCUCGGAUCAGGUAGGGAUACCCGCUGAACUUAAGCAUAUCAAUAAGCGGAGGA
RNAcentral lists this unclassified non-coding RNA (330 nucleotides) under soil metagenome. RNAcentral's name for it is "partial contains 5.8S ribosomal RNA, internal transcribed spacer 2, and large subunit ribosomal RNA". The stretch from base 1 to 120 matches the Rfam family "5.8S ribosomal RNA", at positions 35 to 154 of the family's 154-position model. The record is from RNAcentral.